This 914-nucleotide ribosomal RNA is filed under the name uncultured marine archaeon. Its description in RNAcentral is "bacterial SSU rRNA". It matches the Rfam family "Archaeal small subunit ribosomal RNA", at positions 1 to 922 of the family's 1478-position model. The record is from RNAcentral.
UUCCGGUUGAUCCUGCCGGACCUGACUGCUAUCGGAUUGAUACUAAGCCAUGCUAGUCUUUGUAGUAAUACAAGGCAUACGGCUCAGUAACGCGUAGUCAACCUACCCUAUGGACGGGGAUAAUCUCGGGAAACUGAGCAUAAUACCCGACAGACCACUUCUCCUGGAAUGGUUAGUGGUUAAAAUGAUUCGUCGCCAUAGGAUGGGACUGCGGCCUAUCAGCUUGUUGGUGAGGUAAUGGCCCACCAAGGCGAUUACAGGUACGGGCUCUGAGAGGAGAGGCCCGGAGAUGGGUACUGAGACAAGGACCCAGGCCCUAUGGGGCGCAGCAGGCGAGAAAACUUUGCAAUGUGCGAAAGCACGACAAGGUUAAUCCGAGUGAUUUCUGCUAAAGAAAUCUUUUGCAAGUCAUAAAACCACUAGUGAAUAAGGGGUGGGCAAGUUCUGGUGUCAGCCGCCGCGGUAAAACCAGCACCUCAAGUGGUCAGGAUGAUUAUUGGGCCUAAAGCAUCCGUAGCCGGCUCUGUAAGUUUUCGGUUAAAUCUAUGCGCUCAACGUAUGGGCUGCCGAAAAUACUGCAGAGAUAGGGAGUGGGAGAGGUAGACGGUACUCGGUAGGAAGGGGUAAAAUCCUUUGAUCUAUCGAUGACCACCUGUGGCGAAGGCGGUCUACCAGAACACGUUCGACGGUGAGGGAUGAAAGCUGGGGGAGCAAACCGGAUUAGAUACCCGGGUAGUCCCAGCUGUAAACGAUGCAGACUCGAUGAUGCAUUGGCAUAUAGCCAGUGCAGUGUCGCAGGGAAGCCGUUAAGUCUGCCGCCUGGGAAGUACGUACGCAAGUAUGAAACUUAAAGGAAUUGGCGGGGGAGCACCACAAGGGGUGAAGCCUGCGGUUCAAUUGGAUUCAACGCCGGG